GACGUAGGGCGCGAGCGUUGUCCGGAUUUAUUGGGCGUAAAGGGCUCGUAGGCGGCUCGUCGCGUCUGCCGUGAAAGGCCAUGGCUUAACUGUGGUUUUGCGGUGGAUACGGGCGGGCUUGAGGCAAGUAGGGGAGACUGGAAUUCUACGUGUAGCGGUGAAAUGCGCAGAUAUGUGGAGGAACACCGGUGGCGAAGGCGGGUCUCUGGGCUUGUACUGACGCUGAGGAGCGAAAGCGUGGGGAGCGAACAGG
This 253-nucleotide unclassified non-coding RNA is filed under the name uncultured Actinomycetes bacterium. RNAcentral's name for it is "uncultured actinobacterium contains 16S-23S intergenic spacer region". It matches the Rfam family "Bacterial small subunit ribosomal RNA", at positions 524 to 776 of the family's 1533-position model. The record is from RNAcentral. Lineage: Bacteria; Bacillati; Actinomycetota; Actinomycetes.